Molecule: ribosomal RNA, 821 nt
Filed under: activated sludge metagenome
Description: bacterial SSU rRNA
Rfam family: Bacterial small subunit ribosomal RNA
Source: RNAcentral
ACACAUGCAAGUCGAGCGGGCAAGGUUGCUUCGGUAACUGAGCUAGCGGCGGACGGGUGAGUAAUGCUUAGGAAUCUGCCUAUUAGUGGGGGACAACAUUCCGAAAGGGAUGCUAAUACCGCAUACGUCCUACGGGAGAAAGCAGGGGCUCUUUAUGACCUUGCGCUAAUAGAUGAGCCUAAGUCGGAUUAGCUAGUUGGUGGGGUAAAGGCCUACCAAGGCGACGAUCUGUAGCGGGUCUGAGAGGAUGAUCCGCCACACUGGGACUGAGACACGGCCCAGACUCCUACGGGAGGCAGCAGUGGGGAAUAUUGGACAAUGGGGGGAACCCUGAUCCAGCCAUGCCGCGUGUGUGAAGAAGGCCUUUUGGUUGUAAAGCACUUUAAGUGGGGAGGAGGCUUACCUGGUUAAUACCUGGGCUAAGUGGACGUUACCCACAGAAUAAGCACCGGCUAACUCUGUGCCAGCAGCCGCGGUAAUACAGAGGGUGCGAGCGUUAAUCGGAUUUACUGGGCGUAAAGCGCGCGUAGGUGGUUAAUUAAGUCAAAUGUGAAAUCCCCGAGCUUAACUUGGGAAUUGCAUUCGAUACUGGUUGGCUAGAGUAUGGGAGAGGAUGGUAGAAUUCCAGGUGUAGCGGUGAAAUGCGUAGAGAUCUGGAGGAAUACCGAUGGCGAAGGCAGCCAUCUGGCCUAAUACUGACACUGAGGUGCGAAAGCAUGGGGAGCAAACAGGAUUAGAUACCCUGGUAGUCCAUGCCGUAAACGAUGUCUACUAGCCGUUGGGGGAUUUGAUCCUUUAGUGGCGCAGCUAACGCGAUAAGU